UGAAUUUUAUAUUAUUUUUAAAGUUGAUUUAAUGAAUUAUAGCUAAAUUUACCCAUAAAUAUUUUCAUGAAAAAGAAGUGAAAACAUUUUUUGACAAUCUUAUUAUACGUUUUGGUCAUAUAUCCUAUUUUUGACACAAUGUUUAGAGUUACCUAUAGCACCUCUCCAACCCAAAAAUAGGAGGAAAAUACAUUUCAUCAACUCGAACCCAUAUUCUCUUGUAUUGACAACAAUACCCAUACCAAUUGAACUAAGACUCAACCGACAGAAGUGAAGACAUAUUUUAGCCACAAAACAUAUUUUAAAUGUAUAAAACUCUAUUAUCAUAUUUAAUAAUUAACCUAAUAUUUUUAUAUUUGUACCAGCCCAUUUUUGCUCGGGCCCAUAAAACAAACCCAACAACUAAACCCAAUUACAAAAUUAGACCCAAAAUUACAAGCCCAAAAUUAAAAAAAAAAACCUAAGGGCCUAAAUGGCCUACAACCUAAACCAAUUUUAGUAAUAAAAAAAAACCUAACCCUAACCCUAGCCGUCAGCCACUGCCCCUAGCAUCAACCACUCCAACUGCUUCUACCUGCAAAAGAAGAGAAAAACACGCAAGAAAAAGAGCAGCAAAGAAACAAUAUAAUAUGUAUUCAAAUCGGCUAUAAAGCCGGAGAAAAUGUAACACAAAAGGGGUUUUUUUUUUAAAUAAAAAAAUCAGGAGAUUGUGAAUGUAAAAUCGUUGUUUUCAAACACAUAUCUGAAUACAAAAAAAACAGCAAGGAUUGAAGCAAAAAAAGAGAUUCAAAAGUGCCAAGGUCCCAUUUUUUUUCUUCCUUUUUAUUUUCAUUUUUCGGCUACACAUACAAACGUACUUUCUCUAAUUUUUUUUUCUUUCAAAAACAGUAUAUAUAUAUUUAUAUAUAAAAAUAUAAAAAAAUACCUUUUUUAAAUUCCGGCCACCACGCACGGUGGCCAGUGACGGCAGCGACGGCGGUGGUCCGGCGACUGGGACUCCACCGGAGGGGAGAGGCUUCAGAGAAAAGGGGAGAGGGAGAAGUUUUUUUUUUAAAAGGGUGUUGAAAU
Molecule: long non-coding RNA, 1068 nt
Filed under: Gossypium barbadense (sea-island cotton)
Lineage: Eukaryota; Viridiplantae; Streptophyta; Magnoliopsida; Malvales; Malvaceae
Description: long non-coding RNA (GBAR_LNC001124)
Source: RNAcentral